RNAcentral lists this ribosomal RNA (495 nucleotides) under uncultured bacterium. RNAcentral's name for it is "partial 16S ribosomal RNA". It matches the Rfam family "Bacterial small subunit ribosomal RNA", at positions 28 to 507 of the family's 1533-position model. The record is from RNAcentral.
GACGAACGCUGGCGGCGUGCCUAAUACAUGCAAGUAGAACGCUGAAGGAGGAGCUUGCUUCUCUGGAUGAGUUGCGAACGGGUGAGUAACGCGUAGGUAACCUGCCUGGUAGCGGGGGAUAACUAUUGGAAACGAUAGCUAAUACCGCAUAAUAGUAGAUGUUGCAUGACAUUUGCUGAAAAGUUGCAAUUGCAUCACUACAAUAUGGACCUGCGUUGUAUUAGCUAGUUGGUGAGGUAACGGCUCACCAAGGCAACGAUACAUAGCCGACCUGAGAGGGUGAUCGGCCACACUGGGACUGAGACACGGCCCAGACUCCUACGGGAGGCAGCAGUAGGGGAUCUUCGGCAAUAGACGGAAGUCUGACCGAGCAACGCCGCGUGAGUGAAGAAGGUUUUCGGAUCGUAAAGCUCUGUUGUAAGAGAAGAACGAGUGUGAGAGUGGAAAGUUCACACUGUGACGGUAUCUUAACAGAAAGGGACGGCUAACUACGUG